GAACGGGUGGUAGCAAUACCACUAGUGGCGCACGGGUGCGUAACGCGUAACCAACCUGCCCUUGACUGGGGGAUAGCCCGCCGAAAGGCGGAUUAAUACCGCAUAAACUCGCAGUGUGGCAUCACACAACGAGUAAAGAUUUAUUGGUCAAGGAUGGGGUUGCGUGACAUUAGCUAGUUGGCGGGGUAACGGCCCACCAAGGCGACGAUGUCUAGGGGACCUGAGAGGGUGAUCCCCCACACUGGCACUGAGAUACGGGCCAGACUCCUACGGGAGGCAGCAGUAGGGAAUAUUGGGCAAUGGGCGAGAGCCUGACCCAGCCAUGCCGCGUGCCGGAUGAAGGCCUUCUGGGAUGUAAACGGCUUUUCUCAGGGAAGAAAAAGACCAUGCGUGGUACACUGACGGUACCUGAGGAAUAAGCACCGGCUAACUCCGUGCCAGCAGCCGCGGUAAUACGGAGGGUGCAAGCGUUGUCCGGAUUUAUUGGGUUUAAAGGGUGCGUAGGCGGCCCGUUAAGUCCGGGGUGAAAGCCCACUGCUCAACAGUGGAACUGCCCUGGAUACUGACGGGCUUGAGUCCAGACGAGGUUGGCGGAAUGGAUGCUGUAGCGGUGAAAUGCAUAGAUAGCAUCCAGAACCCCGAUUGCGAAGGCAGCUGACUAGGCUGGUACUGACGCUGAGGCACGAAAGCGUGGGGAGCGAACAGGAUUAGAUACCCUGGUAGUCCACGCCGUAAACGAUGGAUACUCGCUGGUGGCGAUAGACAGUCACUGGCUUAGCGAAAGCGGUAAGUAUCCCACCUGGGGAGUACGCUCGCAAGAGUG
This 823-nucleotide ribosomal RNA is filed under the name uncultured bacterium. Its description in RNAcentral is "bacterial SSU rRNA". It matches the Rfam family "Bacterial small subunit ribosomal RNA", at positions 64 to 896 of the family's 1533-position model. The record is from RNAcentral.